GGCCCAAUCCAAAGCGUAGAGUUUUUGAGAGGCUACCAAACUUCCAGAAUGGAUAAUAUCCAUAUCUGAAAAGACCAAGACCUGGCCACGAAUGGCCCGCGAGGUGCGAGGAGCCUGCGUGUGCCCCUGCUGCUUUCCCUGAUCGCCGUGUUGCCGCUGCUGAUUGCUGAAGCACCUGAUGCGCUUGCGCUGCGCAGCAGGAGCUGUUCACCUUCUGUCCUCAGCAAGGCCAGAACUUCUGAAGCAGUAACGGGCGGGGUGCGUCUGAUCUGCGCGCUGGACGCAGCUAUGGCCACCUCCUCCUCGCCGCUCACCACCACCCACUCAUCUUUCCUCUCUUCCGCGCCAUGCUCGCUCACCACCAUGGCGGCGCUGCCGCGGCGGCGGAGGCCCGGGGCGCGGUACCCUCGUAUCCAGGCCAUCGACUUCGACCAGAACACGAUUGUGGCUAUAACGGUCGGGGUUGCCAGCGUCGCCGCCGGGAUAGGUAUCCCGAUUUUCUACGAGAACCAAAUCGACAAUUCCGCAAAGAGGGACAACACGCAGCCGUGCUUCCCCUGCAGCGGCUCUGGCGCGCAGGUAUGCAGGUUUUGCACCGGAGCUGGCACUGUUACCGUAGUAAUUGGCAGUGGUGAAUCUGAAGUAUCGAAGUGUGUCAACUGUGAUGGCAUUGGCUCGUUGACAUGCACCACGUGCCAAGGUAGUGGCAUUCAGCCACGUUAUCUUGAUCGCAGGGAGUUCAAGGAUGAUGACGAUUGAAGGUUUUGUCAUUACUGGCUAACGGCGAUAUGGGGUGCUCAUUAUGCUACCAGAGCCAGGAAUGAGCUCGAGUCCUACUCCUAAGUCCUAACUAAAACAAUAGCUUAAGCUUUUGAGUCAACUGAUCGGUGGAUGUAACUCAAUUAUGACAAAACAGGGUAAAUUAUCAAAAUGCGAUGUGAAGUGGAGCAUAUGAUCAAAUAUGCCCAAAGUAACGUACUCUGUAUGUAUGGAAUAUUGGAACGGAACCAUAGCGAGGCCAUCCCUCCCAGCCUCAGCGGCUCAGCCUGACAACAGUGUUGAGGUAAGACUGUCAGAGUCAAAUCAUCUCUCAGUCUGAAGCUUACCCGUACUGGAAUAUGGUCAUCUUCUGAACAGGAAAUAAACACGGCGGAGAGUUUAACCGCGCGCUAUAUAACAACAGUAUGAAAAAUGAACACGGUGAUACACAAAAAGCGCGGGAGACUGAUUCGGAAACAGCAAUGUUCUAGUGUGUUUUGAAUUACCGCUAGGAGGCUUCUGGCAGGCUCAGUAGAUUCUCUUUGCACAUCGCUUAAACUUACCGGAGCCCAAAAGCUUGUACGCAAGGUUGCCAGGCACUUGGAAGUGUGUCUUCGGAGGACCAAGGUUUACUUCCAAGUGAAAUCUGCCGAUGAUUGACACAAAAAUCUGACGAUGAUUUGCGUCACA
RNA transcript from Brachypodium distachyon (stiff brome), 1449 nucleotides. It is a transcript of the gene named protein SPA, chloroplastic, with no coding region annotated. NCBI's taxonomy places the organism in Eukaryota, Viridiplantae, Streptophyta, Magnoliopsida, Poales, Poaceae. The record is from RefSeq and is a predicted model, not a curated record. The transcript has 7 exons.